RNAcentral lists this transfer RNA (78 nucleotides) under Pyrobaculum sp. RNAcentral describes it as "tRNA-Glu". The stretch from base 4 to 71 matches the Rfam family "tRNA". Rfam says of the family: Transfer RNA (tRNA) molecules are approximately 80 nucleotides in length. The record is from RNAcentral. Lineage: Archaea; Thermoproteati; Thermoproteota; Thermoprotei; Thermoproteales; Thermoproteaceae.
CAACCGGUAGUCUAGCCCGGUCAAGGAUGCGGGCCUCUCGAGCCCGUGACCCGGGUUCAAAUCCCGGCCGGGGCACCA